UUGAAGAAGCAUGACAGGAGCCCUAUUACUUGAUUUUCCUGUGCAUACUGUCUCUUCCUCAAUUAGGCGGUUCGCGCUCUCCUUACGGCGCCAAAUUCAAAAGAUUCUGUUUUUCCUGUUUGCUUCGGAUUCAAGCAAGCUGAUUGAGGAAAAUGGUUUCUGGUUUAAUCAAUGCCAAUCCCAUUGUGUAUGAAAAGAAGGAACGCCGAGCUAGAACUGAACCUGGUGAUGUGGAUGCGUAUGCUGUGGAGGCCAUUGACCAACUAGAAAUUUUUGAUCAUCUUAGAGACAUAAAAGAUCCUGAGCAUCCUUAUUCACUGGAAGAGCUGAAAGUAAUAACAGAAGAUGCAAUUGAGGUAGAUGACAGGCAUAGCUGUGUGAGGGUGACAUUCACUCCAACAGUUGAACAUUGCUGUAUGGCAACGGUGAUCGGCCUUUGCUUGCGAGUGCAACUCAUGCGCAGCCUGCCUUUGCAUUAUAAGGUGGAUAUCAGGGUAGCACCUGGAACUCAUGCAACUGAAGCUGCAGGUUUCUCUCUCUCUCUCUCUCUCUCAGACAUUGAAUAAACAGUUGAAUGAUAAAGAACGGGUGGCAGCCGCUUUGGAAAAUCCCAACCUUGUAGAUAUGGUUGACGAAUGUCUGGCUCCAUCUUAUGCUUGAAAGGAACACAUGACUCCAAUUUG
Molecule: non-coding RNA, 683 nt
Organism: Camellia sinensis
Lineage: Eukaryota; Viridiplantae; Streptophyta; Magnoliopsida; Ericales; Theaceae
Source: RefSeq, a predicted model, not a curated record